AGAGUUUGAUCAUGGCUCAGGACAAACGCUAACGGUGUGCUUAACACAUGCAAGUCGAACGUGCGAUGAGAAAGUGGCAACACUUUUUCAAAGCAAGUGGCGAACGGGUGAGUAACGCGUAGGCAAUCUGCCUUGGAGAUUGGGACAACCAUUCGAAAGAAUGGCUAAUACCGGAUACCUUAUAUUAAUCGCAUGAUUUUUAUAAUAAAGGGGGCUUCGGCUCCCGCUUCAAGAUGAGCCUGCGUCCUAUUAGCUUGUUGGUGAGGUAACUGCUCACCAAGGCAAUGAUGGGUAGCCGGCCUGAGAGGGUGAUCGGCCACAUUGGGACUGAGAUACGGCCCAGACUCCUACGGGAGGCAGCAGUGGGGAAUAUUGCGCAAUGGGCGAAAGCCUGACGCAGCGACACCGUGUGAAGGAUGAAGGCCUUCGGGUCGUAAACUUCUGUCAAUUGGGGACGAAGGUAAUGAGGUUAAUACCCUUUAUUACUGACGGUACCCAAUAAGGAAGUCUCGGCUAACUCCGUGCCAGCAGCCGCGGUAAGACGGAGGAGGCAAGCGUUGUCCGGAAUCAUUGGGCGUAAAGAGCGCGUAGGCUGUCUUUCAAGUCAUAUGUGAAAAUCUCAGGCUUAACUUGAGAAUUGCAUAUGAAACUGAUUGACUUGAGUGCAGUAGGGGAAAGUGGAAUUCCUGGUGUAGCGGUGAAAUGCGCAGAUAUCAGGAAGAACACCAGUAGCGAAGGCGGCUUUCUGGGCUGCUACUGACGCUGAGGCGCGAAAGCUAGGGGAGCGAACAGGAUUAGAUACCCUAGUAGUCC
RNAcentral lists this ribosomal RNA (813 nucleotides) under uncultured bacterium. RNAcentral's name for it is "bacterial SSU rRNA". It matches the Rfam family "Bacterial small subunit ribosomal RNA", at positions 8 to 796 of the family's 1533-position model. The record is from RNAcentral.